Molecule: long non-coding RNA, 950 nt
Filed under: Homo sapiens (human)
Lineage: Eukaryota; Metazoa; Chordata; Mammalia; Primates; Hominidae
Description: HSALNT0292031
Source: RNAcentral
CAUUUUAUGUUUGCUUUAAACUUUUUUUCAAGGAAAAAAUAGAAAAGUAUAUCCAUUGGCCCUGUGUGCUUCUUAUACGUUAUUGUCAGAUCUUCAUCUGCUAGGUGCCUGGAUUUUUAGUGUAGAGAUUACCUGUCAUUCUUUGUUUGCCUAUAGCCAGUGAACUUCAGGAAUAAUUUUUUCUUGUCUUGAAACAAGAAUGAAGCUAUAUAGAUAAUGGUCACCAUUAUUUAGACAUCAAAGAUUAAUAUGAAAAUAUUUUCUGAUAAACUUAGAACCAUUUUUGUUUUAUAUCAGGUUUUCUAGAUAAAUAUUUCAACUUUAAUUAGACUUUUCAAAUGUCCAUUAUUUUGUGAUUUUAAAAAGCAGUGUUACGUAAAAACUAUUAAUGGAAGAGUCAGAGAAGUCGUUAUAUGAAAGUAAAAACUUUGAGGUAACUUGCUAAUAUUUUUGUAUAUUUUAUUGCAAUAUUCUUGCAUUUUUAAAGUUGGGGUUCUUUUACAAAUUUUGUAUCCUACUAUUUUAGCAUUAAUACAUGUACAUUUCUUCAUUUUUCUAAAAUGAUGCAUAAGUGUAUUUCUUAACGGCUAAUAUCCCAUUGAUAGAAAGUAAUUUAACCAUUCCUCUAUUGGACAUUUAGAUUGUUCCCUAAUUAUGUGUGUCUAUUAUAUAUUUAAACUGGAGAGACAUGUAUUUGCACCAAAGGUAGGUUAUAUGAUCUACUUACGCAAUGUGCAAGUGGAAAAUGGAUGGCAGAAGGAUUGUUCUUCCUUCCUUGUUUGUUUGUACCAGAACUCUUCAUUGUUUACAUACAUUUUAGCCUUGGUGCCAUUUUCAGAAGCUUUAUUUGUCUCACUUACUUUUUUGGUUUGGAUAAGACUUAAAUAUAAAAUCCAUCUGUGAAGCAUAUUGUAUAUUCACAUUGAAGGCUAAAAACCCUUUUUUAAUUA